GUAGCUAAAACAAGAAAUGCCUCAAUCAUAUCAAAUCAUGCAUAUUCACCUCAGUUGCACAACACAGAAUCAAGCUAAAUAUUAGAGUAUCAUCAAAACAUGGGCAAAUCACUCAAGAAAAAUAGGUAUGGCACAUGAUNGUCCAUCCUUAUCAUUAGGCUCAAAACACACAUGGUUCAAAUUUCUUUCACAAAAGAUUUAAUUAGGAAAUUCUCAAUUCAACUCAAUCAGCAAAUCAUAAAAGUAAUACAUUCAUAUCAACAUGACUCUUUUUUUUNUAUAUA
RNAcentral lists this long non-coding RNA (284 nucleotides) under Vigna radiata. RNAcentral's name for it is "long non-coding RNA (VRAD_LNC016599)". The record is from RNAcentral. Lineage: Eukaryota; Viridiplantae; Streptophyta; Magnoliopsida; Fabales; Fabaceae.